GCCAAAGUCAUAACAGAGAAUUGAAACUGGUAUAUCGAAAGGAAGAGGCAGGUGUUUUGCAGUUGGCAUUUACCUUUGUCUACAUGCACUUUUAAGUCCAGAUAGGCCACAGCUGAGCUGGCGAGCACAAGCAAACAGAUUGCUCUUCCGAAUCCUGAAGCCAGUAUCAGGAUGUCCUUCCACAGAAAAGCGACAAUGUUUUCAUGAAUGUGGACUUGGUCAAAUACUGCAUAUAUAUUAGUAGG
Mytilus trossulus (common blue mussel) is the source of this 245-nucleotide long non-coding RNA. RefSeq lists it as uncharacterized. The transcript has 3 exons. The record is from RefSeq and is a predicted model, not a curated record. Lineage: Eukaryota; Metazoa; Mollusca; Bivalvia; Mytilida; Mytilidae.